RNAcentral lists this ribosomal RNA (678 nucleotides) under Triticum aestivum (bread wheat). RNAcentral's name for it is "partial small subunit ribosomal RNA". Lineage: Eukaryota; Viridiplantae; Streptophyta; Magnoliopsida; Poales; Poaceae. The record is from RNAcentral.
AUGCCUUCCUGGAACGAUGAGGAAACGAGCUCGGGGGAGGACUGCCGGGUCGUCAGCAUGGACAUGGGACUUAUGCUUGCUCAUCCCAAGUGCAUUCUGCAUCAAAUGAGGCCUAUUAAGCGUGUUGCUUUUGAAGGGCCUAUAACAGGAAGGCGUUUCUAUGGCUGCCCAGUCCAGAACUAUGGAAGGGUACUUGACAAAAAGAAGUUUGAGGAGUUGACCAAGCUUAAGAUUGAACAUGAAAGGGAGUUGGCCAAGCUUAUGGCUGAAAGUGACAAGCUUUGCAUUGAGUACACCAAGCUUGUUGAUGAUGUAUCCAAGAUGUUUGAUUGGCAGGAUGGUAGAGUGGACAGGAAGCCGCUGCCUGACCCCCGCCUCUGCUGCAGGCUGGCACCUCUGAGCCACCACGGCUGCACCCCGUUGCUACCUAUGUCGUUUGCCGCCGAGGCCGACAGGAAUUGUGCUACAACCACUGUGCGCUGCGUCAGAUUGAUCAACAAGGGUCAAAAGCCGAGGAUUACCACACUGGAUCGAACUGGCAAGUCAACAGGUUUAAUCUCUGACGCCCACCCGUUAGGCUCGCUUCUGUUGCUACCAUGCACUAGGUAUAACCUGAGCUUUCCCUUGGUUAGUACCUACAGCUCGGUGAAAGCCACGCUCCAUCCAACUAAUAACUGA